UUCUGCUCUUAAAAAAAAAGAUCUUUUACAAAAAAGAUGUAAGCCAAUAUGAAAUAAUUAUUACUCAGUACUAAGGGUGUCACGAUUUCGAUUUUAAAUUGAAAUUGAUCGAAAUUAAAGGAAUACUUCACCAAUUUAGCAUUCAGCUUUGUAUCAGUAGAAACCUGGCAGUAUUUCUGAAUGAACGUGUUUCCCUCCCUCAUGUCCCCGUGAGAGGAGAGAUAUCUGUAUUCUGGUUGUCCAAAAAAGUCCUCCGAUGACGCAAAAUGACGAUUUUUGCGUCAUCGGAGGAGUUUUUGGCCAGAGGCAAAGACUACAGCCAGUAUUAGGAGCUACUUCCGCAUGUUUUCUCCCCACCCAUAGGGGUUGGACUGCGAGUCCAUUCGGAAAAGCCCGAACCAAAACGAGAGUCAGCCAUCUUUAAUCUUCGCUAAGCUAAGCUAGCCUGGGUCUUGCUUUGUGGAGAAAGCCGAGUAAACAAACCACGACGGCUGAGUGUAGUUUUGAAAACGGAUGGCAGAAGGGGAUUUUGAUGACCUGUUGCCCGAAUCUGAUGGUCGUGGUACCUGUACGAGCCGCAAUACAACGAGGAUCAGUUACGGAUGAUUGAGGAACAAGAGGCUGCCACCGCGGAUGCUGUAGCCGAGGUGGGGCCGGUCUGGUGGUUUACGUGCUCUCGCUGUGCGCCUCGCUGUUGCUCAAAUCUGAUGGUCGUGGUACCUGUACGAGCCGCAAUACAACGAGCAACAGUUACGGAUGAUCGAGAAACAGUUACGGAUGAACGAGGAACAAGAGGCUGCAACCGCGGCUGCUGUAGCCGAGGUUGGGCCGGUCUGGUGGUUUACGUGCUCUCGUGUGCGCCUAUGGACACCGAAAGAGAGUCAUAUUGCUGUCGCGAAUUUCAGCGAUAGCAUUUUCUUCUUGAAGCCCGCAGGGAGAAACGGAGGCAUGGGUAUAAAGCGAAAGACUGGGGAAAGGACAUCGACUUGUUUUACCUGCCUGUGUUCGUUGUUCAGGACAUCAGACGUAGAUAUCCAGCUCCUCACGGACAUUAUAGCGGCUAUAAAGAAACGGAUGAAGCUCUGGAUCAGCUAUGAGUGGGAGUUGUUUAUGUUUUUUAAUAAAAAGUUAAAACUCA
Non-coding RNA from Misgurnus anguillicaudatus (oriental weatherfish), 1138 nucleotides. The record is from RefSeq and is a predicted model, not a curated record. Lineage: Eukaryota; Metazoa; Chordata; Actinopteri; Cypriniformes; Cobitidae.